RNAcentral lists this ribosomal RNA (460 nucleotides) under uncultured bacterium. RNAcentral's name for it is "partial 16S ribosomal RNA". It matches the Rfam family "Bacterial small subunit ribosomal RNA", at positions 338 to 795 of the family's 1533-position model. The record is from RNAcentral.
CCUACGGGCGGCUGCAGUGAGGAAUAUUGGUCAAUGGGCGCGAGCCUGAACCAGCCAAGUAGCGUGAAGGAUGACUGCCCUACGUGUUGUAAACUUCUUUUAUAAAGGAAUAAAGUCAGGCACGUGUGCCUUUUUGUAUGUACUUUAUGAAUAAGCAUCGGCUAACUCCGUGCCAGCAGCCGCGGUAAUACGGAGGAUACGAGCGUUAUCCGGAUUUAUUGGGUUUAAAGGGAGCGUAAAUGGGUUGUUAAGUCAGUCGUGAAAGUUUGGGGCUCAACCGUAAGAUUGCAAUUGAUACUGGCAGGCUUGAGUACAGGUGAGGUAUGCGGAAUUCGUGGUGUAGCGGUGAAAUGCUUAGAUAUCACGAAGAACUCCGAUUGCGAAGGCAGCUUACUAAACUGCCACUGACAUUGAUGCUCGAAAGUGUGGGUAUCGAACAGGAUUAGAUACCCUAGUAGUC